This 383-nucleotide long non-coding RNA is filed under the name Sorghum bicolor (sorghum). RNAcentral's name for it is "long non-coding RNA (SBIC_LNC008586)". The record is from RNAcentral. Lineage: Eukaryota; Viridiplantae; Streptophyta; Magnoliopsida; Poales; Poaceae.
GCCCGCUGUUGGGUAUUUUAAACGCAAACAGAAAAAAUCCGCAAGCGCACGGAUACCGAUGUAGCUUUCACCCGGGAGUAUUCCAGAGUAUCGAUUUUCCACAGAGAACGUGAGUGUACUAAUUAAGAUCCAAUAUCGCCCAAGGAUAACUAUAUAAUUAUUUUUGGUGGGAAGAGAGGAAGUUUCCUGAGAGUUCUCUAGUUGAUCUAAGAAUCAAGAAUUACUUCAAGAUUAUUUAUAUCAGGACAUCAGAGCACUAACCACAGAAAGAGAUGAGAAGGGGGCUAGGAAGGUCUGACUACGGUCCUACAAACACCGAUCCGAACGUGGUGGAAUACGUCGACCAUUAGGGCUGUCACUACCCUAAGGCUACCACAACAAUC